Non-coding RNA from Paralichthys olivaceus (Japanese flounder), 537 nucleotides. Lineage: Eukaryota; Metazoa; Chordata; Actinopteri; Pleuronectiformes; Paralichthyidae. The record is from RefSeq and is a predicted model, not a curated record.
AAUGUGUCAGAGGUGGAGGAGGCAGUGGAGGACAAUGCGGGGGAAGGAGUGGGAACAGAGGAAGAGCAGAGUUCAAGUGAAAAGGACAAUGAGGAACUUGUUGCUUUUUCUCAGUCAUCAUGUGAAGAGAUUCAUUCUCAGUCCUCUCUGGCAAAGACGACAGCUGCAUCUUCAACCGCAGCAUUUCCAUUUAACUUCAGCCCUGCCAGCUCCCCACAUAGAGGGACCUCCGAUACCAAAUCUCCAGCCUUCCUGUUCUCUCUGAACUCUGAUCCAAGCACCCCCAGCUUCUCUGGAUUUGGAUUUGACACGUCACAGGCUGAGGACACAAAUUUUGCUUUCGCUGGCUCUUUUUUCAACGAGAAGAAAACCACAGACACCAAGUCUUCAAGUGGCCCUGAGUUCUUGUUUGACCAGUCAGAGCAAGGUGAAGACUUUCAGUUUGCCUUCAACUUCAAGAGCCCUCAAGCAACAAACAGAGAUAAGAGCAGGGACGAUUUUCCAUUUUCAUUCAAAUUUUGAGAGUUAUAACAAAUA